This 219-nucleotide ribosomal RNA is filed under the name uncultured bacterium. RNAcentral's name for it is "partial 16S ribosomal RNA". It matches the Rfam family "Bacterial small subunit ribosomal RNA", at positions 268 to 504 of the family's 1533-position model. The record is from RNAcentral.
CCAAAGCGACGAUCAGUAGCCGGCCUGAGAGGGUGGACGGCCACAUUGGGACUGAGACACGGCCCAAACUCCUACGGGAGGCAGCAGUGGGGAAUAUUGCACAAUGGGGGAAACCCUGAUGCAGCGACGCCGCGUGAGCGAUGAAGGCCUUCGGGUCGUAAAGCUCUGUCCUCAAGGAAGAAAAUGACGGUACCUGACUAAGAAGCCCCGGCUAACUAC